GCAUUGCUGAAGAGUCCCACAAUAGGACGAAACGGCCGUCAAGUAC
Molecule: non-coding RNA, 46 nt
Filed under: Schistosoma mattheei
Lineage: Eukaryota; Metazoa; Platyhelminthes; Trematoda; Strigeidida; Schistosomatidae
Source: RNAcentral